RNAcentral lists this non-coding RNA (961 nucleotides) under Neomyxus leuciscus (brown mullet). Its description in RNAcentral is "partial 12S ribosomal RNA". It matches the Rfam family "Bacterial small subunit ribosomal RNA". Lineage: Eukaryota; Metazoa; Chordata; Actinopteri; Mugiliformes; Mugilidae. The record is from RNAcentral.
UGAAGUUUGGUCCUAACUUUCUUGUCAUCUUUAGCUGAGCUUACACAUGCAAGUAUCCGCACCCCCGUGAGAAUGCCCUAAUAGUUCCCCUACUCGGGAACAAGGAGCCGGUAUCAGGCCUAACAUCACGUUACACACCUUUGACACCUUGCUAAGCCACACCCCCAAGGGGAUCCAGCAGUGACAGACCUUCAGCAAUAAGUGAAAACUUGACUCAGCUACAGCUAAUAGGGCUGGUAAAUCCCGUGCCAGCCACCGCGGUUACACGAGAAGCCCAAGUUGACAAGAACCGGCGUAAAGAGUGGUUGAGCCAUACUUAACAUAUUAAAGUCGAAUAUCCUCUCGACAGUCAUACGUAGACAGAGGACAUGAAGUUCUAAGACGAAAGUAACUUUAUAUUCAUCUGGCCCACGAAAGCCCGGACACAAACUGGGAUUAGAUACCCCACUAUGCCCGGCCUUAAACUCUGAUAGCCAACCCUAUCCGGCUAUCCGCCCGGGUACUACGAGCAAGAGCUUGAAACCCAAAGGACUUGGCGGUGCUUGAAACCCCCCUAGAGGAGCCUGUUCUAUAACCGAUGACCCCCGUUCAACCUCACCUUCUCUUGUCAAUACCGCCUGUAUACCGCCGUCGCCAGCUCACCUCAUGAGAGUUUCCUAGUGAGCACAAUCGUCACCACACCAUGACGUCAGGUCGAGGUGCAGCGAAUGAGGAGGCAAGAAAUGGGCUACAUUUCCCUAACAGGAAAUUACGGAUAGUAAUAUGAAACUAUUACAUUGAAGGAGGAUUUAGCAGUAAAUGAGAAAUAGAGUGUCUCAUUGAAAAUGGCCCUAAAGCACGUACAUACCGCCCGUCACUCUCUCCGGGACAGAUCACUUAUACUCAAAUUAAGUAUUAAGCAGAUUAUAUUGUAGGAGAGACAAGUCGUAACAUGGUAAGUGUACCGGAAGGUGCACUUGGU